Molecule: ribosomal RNA, 439 nt
Filed under: uncultured bacterium
Lineage: Bacteria
Description: partial 16S ribosomal RNA
Rfam family: Bacterial small subunit ribosomal RNA
Source: RNAcentral
CUACGGGGCGCUGCAGUGAGGAAUAUUGCACAAUGGGGGGAACCCUGAUGCAGCAACGCCGCGUGGAGGAUGACGCAUUUCGGUGUGUAAACUCCUUUUAUAUGUCAAGAAAAUGACGGUAGCAUAUGAAUAAGCACCGGCUAACUCCGUGCCAGCAGCCGCGGUAAUACGGAGGGUGCAAGCGUUACUCGGAACCACUGGGCGUAAAGGACGCGUAGGCGGGUUGGAAAGUCAGGUGUGAAAUCCUACAGCUUAACUGUAGAACUGCACUUGAAACUUCUAAUCUAGAGUAUGGGAGGGGGAGAUGGAAUUAGUGGUGUAGGGGUAAAAUCCGUAGAUAUCAAUAGGAAUACCUAAAGCGAAGGCGAUCUCCUGGAACAUUACUGACGCUAAGGCGUGAAAGCGUGGGGAGCAAACAGGAUUAGAUACCCCGGUAGUC